RNAcentral lists this small RNA (76 nucleotides) under Flavobacterium xinjiangense. RNAcentral's name for it is "Flavo-1 RNA". It matches the Rfam family "Flavo-1 RNA". Lineage: Bacteria; Pseudomonadati; Bacteroidota; Flavobacteriia; Flavobacteriales; Flavobacteriaceae. The record is from RNAcentral.
GUUUAGCCCCGAUGGAAGCGGCAUCCUUUGUGCCCGGGUUUCGGGCACAAAGAUAUAGCGCACGGCGGGUGGAAUU